RNAcentral lists this ribosomal RNA (496 nucleotides) under uncultured bacterium. Its description in RNAcentral is "partial 16S ribosomal RNA". It matches the Rfam family "Bacterial small subunit ribosomal RNA", at positions 29 to 507 of the family's 1533-position model. The record is from RNAcentral.
AUGAACGCUGGCGGCGUGCCUAAUACAUGCAAGUCGAGCGAACAGACGAGGAGCUUGCUCCUCUGACGUUAGCGGCGGACGGGUGAGUAACACGUGGAUAACCUACCUAUAAGACUGGGAUAACUUCGGGAAACCGGAGCUAAUACCGGAUAAUAUAUUGAACCGCAUGGUUCAAUAGUGAAAGACGGUUUUGCUGUCACUUAUAGAUGGAUCCGCGCCGCAUUAGCUAGUUGGUAAGGUAACGGCUUACCAAGGCAACGAUGCGUAGCCGACCUGAGAGGGUGAUCGGCCACACUGGAACUGAGACACGGUCCAGACUCCUACGGGAGGCAGCAGUAGGGAAUCUUCCGCAAUGGGCGAAAGCCUGACGGAGCAACGCCGCGUGAGUGAUGAAGGUCUUCGGAUCGUAAAACUCUGUUAUUAGGGAAGAUCAAAUGUGUAAGUAACUAUGCACGUCUUGACGGUACCUAAUCAGAAAGCCACGGCUAACUACGUG